GUGGUAGAAUUAGUGUCCAUGGUAACAAACUAGGAGCAGAGCAGCAGGGAACAUGAGGGGAACAAGGAAACAAUAGGCACACAGAACUACGUAUUAAAAGUCCUUGAACACAGAGACCAGAAACACAGACAAGGAUCGUAACAACAGUGUAAGAUCCGUGUUGUGUUUUGUUCUCUCCACUGCGCUUCCGCAUUCGUCACUUCUCACCGGGGCAUGUGCUACACCUUCGUCCCACAUCAUCCGCUGGACUGGAACAAACUGAAAACUGAACUGGAAUGAAUGCACGUACGACAGUUAGAGACGGAUUAACGCUCCCCGCUGGAUCGGGGGGCUGUGAGCGGGACAAUGC
Molecule: long non-coding RNA, 349 nt
Organism: Cyprinus carpio carpio
Lineage: Eukaryota; Metazoa; Chordata; Actinopteri; Cypriniformes; Cyprinidae
Source: Ensembl